GAAAUGCGAUAAGUAAUGUGAAUUGCAGAAUUCAGUGAAUCAUCGAAUCUUUGAACGCACCUUGUGCUCCUUGGUAUUCCUUGGAGCAUGCCUGUUUGAGUAUCAUGAAAUCUUCAAAGUAAAUCUUUUGUUAACUCAAUUGGUUUCUACUUUGGUAUUGGAGGUCUUUGCAGCUUCACACCUGCCCCUCUUUGUUCAUUAGCUGGAUCUCAGUGUUAUGCUUGGUUCCACUCGGCGUGAUAAGUUAUCUAUCGCUGAGGACACUGUAAAAGGUGGCCAAGGUAAAUGCAGAUGAACCGCUUCUAAUAGUCCAUUGACUUGGACAAUACUUUUAUGAUCUGAUCUCAAAUCAGGUAGGACUACCCGCUGAACUUAAGC
RNAcentral lists this unclassified non-coding RNA (378 nucleotides) under plant metagenome. Its description in RNAcentral is "partial contains 5.8S ribosomal RNA, internal transcribed spacer 2, and large subunit ribosomal RNA". The stretch from base 1 to 105 matches the Rfam family "5.8S ribosomal RNA", at positions 50 to 154 of the family's 154-position model. The record is from RNAcentral.